Molecule: non-coding RNA, 24 nt
Filed under: Cricetulus griseus (Chinese hamster)
Lineage: Eukaryota; Metazoa; Chordata; Mammalia; Rodentia; Cricetidae
Source: RNAcentral
UUGGCAUUGUGGAAGGACUCAUGA